Long non-coding RNA from Pezoporus occidentalis (night parrot), 1656 nucleotides. RefSeq lists it as uncharacterized. Lineage: Eukaryota; Metazoa; Chordata; Aves; Psittaciformes; Psittacidae. The transcript is spliced from 3 exons. The record is from RefSeq and is a predicted model, not a curated record.
GGAGCUAUCCCCCGUGUUUCCCAGCACCACAAUGAAGAAUACCUGCUUCUCAGCUUGAAAACGUUGUUGGCGAGUUCCUGGAGAUUUCUCCAAAUCAAUCUGGCACCCCAGAUGGUACCCUCUCUGCUCAGCUCCAGGACCCGCUGAGGACAGGUCUCCCUAGGGCCCUCAGGAGUUUUUCCUGGAGGGACCCCUUGACUCAUUUGGAUCACUGCAGGAGCAGACAAGGACCAUCUUCAUAAAAGAAAUGCAAACAGGAGGACCUCCCUGAAAUAGAAGAAAUACUUAAUCAGGUAUAUCUGGGAGUAUGGGCAUCUGAAGUUCCAGGAUGUAAAAUAACAGGAGGACAAUCAGAACUUGGAGCAGCUCAGAAGGAAGCAAUAUGUCAAACACCGUGACCAUCCACAGUUAAAAGAUAUCUGGACAUUUCUGGGAAUGACAGGAUGCUGUCAACUCUGGAUCCAUGAUUAUGGUGCUCUGGGAAGACCCUUAUAUGAGCUGCUAAAAGAAAAUCCAACCUUUCUAAAAUGGACAGAUCAAGCUGAAGAAGCGUUUAAAAGUUUAAAGACAGAACUUAUGAGAGCUCCAGCUCUGGGGCUCCUGAACAUAACUAAACACUUUUGCCUAUAUUCCUAUGAAAAACAGCAAAUAGCCUUGGGGGUUUCGGCUCAAAGAUUGGGAUCUUAUAAAAGAGCAGUGGCCUAUUUUUCAAAACAACUGGAUGAACAAAGUGGAGGCUGCCCUGGAUACUUGUGAGCAGUGGCAGCAGUUAUCUUAAACAUCCAAGAGGCGCAAAAAUUUACACUGGCACAAAAGAUCACCCUGUUAGUAUCACGUGCAGUAUCAACAGUCCUAGAACAAAAAGGUACACAUUGGCUAUUGCCAUCACGUUUCUUGAAGUAUCAAGCCAUCCUAGUAGAACUGGAUGAUGUGGAAAUUGCGAUCACUAAUGUUGUGAAUCCAGCAUCUUUCCUUCAGGAAACCCCUACUGAACCAUUAACUCACAACUGCUUGGCCACUAUAGAGACAGUAUAUUCGAGCUGACCAGAUCUGAAGGAGGAGCCUCUGGAGGGUGCAGAUUCCUGGUUCACCGGUGGCAGCAGCUUUGUUAAAGAUGGUAAACGAAGAGCAGGAUAUGCCAUAACUACAACUUCAAAGGUAAUAGAAGCUAAACCAUUGCCCUCUAACACUUCAGCACAAAAGGCAGAAAUAAUAGCCCUGACAAGAGCCUUGGAGUUGGCAAAGGACAAGCAGAUAAACAUACGGACUGAUUCCAAAUAUGCCUUUGGUGUGGUUCAUGCACAUGGAGCAAUUUGGAAAGAACAAGGACUUUUUAAAUACCCAGGGAAGACAAAUUAAACAUGCAGCGGAAAUUCUAUGAUUGUUAGAAGCUGUACAAUUAGCCAAGGAAGUGGCUAUCAUACAUUGUAAAGGACAUCAAAGAGGUAACUCUGAUCAAGAGAUUAGAAAUAAUCUGGCUGAUCGUGAAGCUAAACGGGCAGCAGAAACAGAAAGAGUUGAGGUGAUGUCCUUAAUUCCUGACAGUAAACUGGUAAUUGAGCAAAAUAAACCUAGGUACUCUAAAGAAGAUAUGAAACUAAUUGAAGACUUGGAAGGACAGGAAAAUGAAAAGGGUUGGAUAAAAAUACCUAAUGG